UGUCACCAGCUACCACCCUUUUCUUUCCCUCUAAGCUCCGAUCCUCUGGUGCAAGAAGAAGCAGAAACCGCUGCCAUUCCAAGCUCCAACAGCCUUUCAUCUUCAGCCACUCACACCCCAAUCUUCAAGCUUCCAUUUCCAGCUUCCACCUCCACUCCUUGCUGCUGUCUCGAUCGAGCAAGGAAAAGGAGGAUCGCAGCUCCUCCGGCCGCUGCUGCUGCUGGCGUUGCGUCGGACCAGGGGAGAAGGAGAAACCAGCUGCCAUUUUUCUUUCCUCCAACCACAGAAUCUUCCAAGCUGACCCUCCGUGGUUCUAGGAGAAACUUGAGGAACUAGGCACUACAUUUAGCUAGUAAACAACCACCUGAAGGAGUUGGUGAAGAGCACAAUCUCGAUCAAAGUUUGAAAUUCUAGACUCUUCACUUGCGGUUCUGAAAUGCAUGAAGUCUUGGAGAACUAGAAAAUAAAUGUUAUAUUUUGAUUGCCCACUUUUGUAAUUGUACUUUGGGAGAUACUUUAAUAUCUUUUGGAUAAUUUUUCUUGUGCCUUUGGGAAAAUGUGAAUCCCGUGGUGCUUCUGUGCCCUGGAUUAGGAACUUUAAAUUGUAAAUUAAGUAUUUUAAGCUCGACGUUUUCGUUGGUACUUG
Molecule: non-coding RNA, 646 nt
Organism: Coffea arabica (coffee)
Lineage: Eukaryota; Viridiplantae; Streptophyta; Magnoliopsida; Gentianales; Rubiaceae
Source: RefSeq, a predicted model, not a curated record